RNAcentral lists this long non-coding RNA (1438 nucleotides) under Sus scrofa (pig). Its description in RNAcentral is "lncRNA (ENSSSCG00035074452.1)". The record is from RNAcentral. Lineage: Eukaryota; Metazoa; Chordata; Mammalia; Artiodactyla; Suidae.
CAGAAGAGAUGGAAAGGUGAACCGCUGGUGCAGGAGCCUGGGCCCCCCGGAGGAGUCUGAGCUCAGGGGCUCCGAGGGAAUGGCUGCGUGUGAUAGGAGCUGAGCAAAGAACGUUGACACACAGGCCCCUCCGUGAAUCUGCUUCGGGUCCUGGCCAGCCCUGGGAUCCUCACCUGUGUUCCAUUCCCACCUGAGAGCUUCCUUUUGUACCGUAGCAUCCUCACUGUAAGUCCCUUCAUCCCAGCAUCCUCAGCGUGGCUCUGCCUCAGCAACAGCAAAAUCACCCACAACCAGCCAGAGCUAGUUAGCGCUGUUCUGCCAGCUGCUCUCCUGGACUCUGGGGUCCCCCAGAAGCCGAGGCCCCACAGAAGCCCAUUUCAGAUCCUGCUUGUCUGUGAGUACUGCAGGCAGGUGCACGUUCCCCAGCCAGGGAUUCAACCCUCGCCACGGCAGCAACCUCAGCCGCUGCAGGGACGGCACUAAUCUUUCACCUGCUGCACCGCAAGAAAACUCCUCAAAUCGUGCUUUAGAUAAGAUGGACAUUUUCUGAAACGGAGAAAUGGAAAUCACUGACUGAUUCAAAGCAGCUCAUGCAACAGUGUAUUUUGUUCCCCAAAGGAAAUCAUAUCAUGAUCAUUAAAUAGGCCCUUCUAAGCACAAUAAACAUUCCGCUCUAAAAACACAGUACCUCGGCCAUCUGGUCGAGUGAGGUCAGUCAGGAAAAUGAAACUCUAAUGCGAGCACGUGCACGCCCAGUAAAAGACCCAGAAGCCUCUGGUAUUUGAGCCGAAAUGACGAUGGGGAUGACAGGGAUGUGAUUGUGUGUGUGUGUGUGUGUAUUUAUUUAUGUAUUUUUGCUUUUUAUGGACGUUCCCAGGCUAGGGGUUGAAACAGAGCUGCAGUGGCCAGCCUACACCACAGCCACGCCAGAUCCAAGCUGCAUCUGUGAUCUAUACAACAGCUAGCGGCAAUGCUUGAUCUUUAACCCACUGAGUGAGGCCAGGGACCAAACCGUGGCCUUAUGGAUACCAGUCAGGUUCUUAACUCAGUGAGCCACAACGGGAACUCCUGUUUUUUAUGAUUUUUUAUUAUAUUUUCUAAUUUUCUCCACGCACGAGUUCUGUUUCAGUAAAUACAUAUAAUAAAAUAAAAAUAAAUUAAUAUAUAAAUGUACAUAUAACAAAAAUAUAUCAUAAAUAUAUAAAGUAUAUAUUGUAUAUUCUUAAGACAUAUGUAUUUAAAUAUACACACACAUAUUACAGGGGCAUUUUUUUUUUUUGUCUUUUUGCUUUUUCUAGGGCCACUUCCUGCAGCAUAUUAUGGUUCCUAGGCUAGGGGUCUAAUCGGUGCUGUAGCCACCAGCCUACGCCAGAGGCACAGCAACGCGGGAUCCCAGCCGCCUCUGCAACCUACACCACAGCUCAUCACAACACCGGAU